Long non-coding RNA from Oreochromis aureus, 197 nucleotides. RefSeq lists it as uncharacterized. The transcript has 3 exons. The record is from RefSeq and is a predicted model, not a curated record. Lineage: Eukaryota; Metazoa; Chordata; Actinopteri; Cichliformes; Cichlidae.
UUUUUACUGAAAUCCACAAAGCAGUGGAGAGUGAGAUGAAACAGUGGUCUCCUGAACAAGGAAUCAGGGCAAUGGUAAAGCGGGUAAGGGAUGUCAGAGGAGUGCGGCCUUGUUACAGAGACGAUGUUGCUAAUAUAAUGAGGGAUAUGGAUGCAAGUGGUCUUCAGAGGAGAUCUCCUGGAAAGAAGAAAAUUCCC